RNAcentral lists this long non-coding RNA (962 nucleotides) under Homo sapiens (human). RNAcentral's name for it is "HSALNT0242289". Lineage: Eukaryota; Metazoa; Chordata; Mammalia; Primates; Hominidae. The record is from RNAcentral.
CUGUGUUCACUCCUCCCUUUCCUCCGCGGGGCGAAGCCCGGGUUAACCCCUUCCUUCCCAGAGCCCCGCCAGCCCUUUCGCUUCCUCUUCCACGCCUGCCUUUCCCUUGCUACCCCCUCGCAUCUCCUUCACCUGCAGGCUCCUUUUAACCCUUCCUUUCCAGAGUUGUCUAGGUAGCUUUCAACCAAUCCCUUUUCUCCAACUCAAAGCUCAUCUGACCGAACAUAAAGCCUUGGACAUCUAGCGCGACCACCUGAGAAAGCCACCUCCUUCGCACCGGGCUUCCUUAGAGCAAGAUCCCAGGAGGUGAAGUGUCUCUGGGAGGCCCGGAGCCCGUCCUUCAUCAGCGGCCCAGCUUCUCUUGGAGAAAAUGUGACGCGCCCUCUUGUGGCCGAAUGUGGUAUCUCCCAUCGUGGGUUUAGGGCCCGACCCGCCACUUUGAUGCUUUCUUUGCUCGGUGACAUUAGCCUAAUACGUGUUAGGCUUUAUGCUGGGAACAGGGAACACAGACAGGAUCAAGAAAUGGCCUUUUUCCUCGAUGAUUUCAUUUCUAAGUUUCAGAGAUAGCUACAUAAGUAAAUAAUUAGCUAUAACUGAAUGUGAUUGUAAUACAGACCUCACAGAGCAAAGCUUCACAUAUGGAAGGGCCUCUUAGCUGGAUGAAUAAUAAGCUAUAUGCCAGGCACUGUUUACAGGCAUUAUCUCAUUUAAUUCUCUAUUUUAUUAUUCUUAGCCUCAUUUCAUAGAUAAGAAAACCGAGACUCAGGGAUCAUUCUCAACUGCAAAUCUGACCUUAUUACUUCCUUGCUCACAGCCUUUCAAUGGGCUAUUUUUUUUUUUUUUUUUUUUUUUUUUGAGAUUGAGUCUCCCUCUGUCGUCCAAGCUGGAGUGCAGUGGCACAACCUUGGCUCACUGCAAACUUCUCCUCCCAGGUUCAAGCGAUUCUCCUGUCUCAGCUUUCC